UACGGAGGUCCCAAGCGUUGUUCGGAUUUACUGGGCGUAAAGGGUGCGUAGGUGGCCAGGAAAGUCUGAUGUGAAAGCCCCGAGCUCAACUCGGGAAAUGCAUUGGAUACUACUUGGCUUGAGGAUCGGAGGGGAGACUGGAAUUCUCGGUGUAGCAGUGAAAUGCGUAGAUAUCGAGAGGAACACCAGUGGCGAAGGCGAGUCUCUGGACGAUUCCUGACACUGAGGCACGAAAGCUAGGGGAGCAAACAGGAUUAGAUACCCUGGUAGUCCUAGCUGUAAACGGUGCACACUUGCUGUAGGAGGAUUCGACCCCUUCUGUGGCGGAGCAAACGCGUUAAGUGUGCCGCCUGGGGAGUACGGUCGCAAGAUUAAAACUCAAAGAAAUUGACGGGGGCCUGCACAAGCGGUGGAGUAUGUGGCUUAAUUCGAUGCAACGCGAAGAACCUUACCUGGCCUUGACAUGCAUCUCUAAGCGUGUGAAAGCACGUGACCCCUCGGGGAAUUUGCACAGGUGCUGCAUGGCUGUCGUCAGCUCGUGUCGUGAGAUGUUGGGUUAAGUCCCGCAACGAGCGCAACCCUCAUGUCUUGUUGCCACUUCCACAUGUGUGGAAAGCACUCUAGACAGACUGCCUCGUCUCAACGAGGAGGAAGGUGGGGAUGACGUCAAGUCAGUAUGGCCCUUACGGCCAGGGCUGCACACGUACUACAAUGCCUAGUACAAUGGGAAGCAAUACCGCGAGGUGGAGCAAAUCCUCAAAACUGGGCCCAGUUCAGAUUGUAGUCUGCAACUCGACUACAUGAAGUCGGAAUCGCUAGUAAUGGCGCAUCAGCUACGGCGCCGUGAAUACGUUCCCAGGCCU
This 863-nucleotide ribosomal RNA is filed under the name uncultured bacterium. RNAcentral describes it as "SSU rRNA". It matches the Rfam family "Bacterial small subunit ribosomal RNA", at positions 524 to 1381 of the family's 1533-position model. The record is from RNAcentral.